RNAcentral lists this long non-coding RNA (1374 nucleotides) under Malus domestica (apple). RNAcentral's name for it is "long non-coding RNA (MDOM_LNC015520)". The record is from RNAcentral. Lineage: Eukaryota; Viridiplantae; Streptophyta; Magnoliopsida; Rosales; Rosaceae.
UUAUGAAUUCUGUCAGAACACCGUUGGAUUCCUCGUGGCCACCAAAGCUCUGCUAUCUAGAACCUGUAGGGGCGCAAAACAAAAUUGAGUGGGUCAGUAAAACAAAGUUUUUCGAAAACAUUUCAUUUAAAACAUUUCUAACCCCUUGCUGUAAAACCUGUAUACUUUCCUAGAAAAUAACAUAAUAGCAUAUAUCUUCAAAUAUCUCAAAUCAUCAAUCUUUAUCAAAACCAGAAAGUAUGCCAUGUCAUAAUGUCAAAAACAGAAUAUGGAUGGAUCAAUAUAACAGGUGAAAUAAGGAAUCAACCGGAAACCCUGCAGUUGGUCCUGUACAGUUAAUUCUAUAGCUCAAUAUCUAAUCCAACCGGAGUCACCACGAUGAACUAUACGGCGCUACUCUGCACAUAAGUCAGAACUACCUGAAGUAGUCUGUACGACAAGAAUGAUGUAAUAAUACGCUCUAGUGCUUCUCUCAUCAAUCAUUUGUGCACAUAAUCUAAGGUCACCUACCAGUCGGAACCACCUCUAGUGGUUUGUACGACUAGCAUGUCGAAACCCUCUAUCGGUCUGUACGACAUACACCUACUUGGAUCCAAGGUGAACGUGCGGUACGGUGAAUAAUAUAAGCACUAACACUAGGGAUGCAGGUUAUGAGCUCUCAACACAAUUCACAUCAUCAAUGAUUCACAUGAAUAACAUAAAACUCACCUGAUACUCACCUGUGCGUCCACAGCACCAAUUCACAUAUAUAUAUGCAUCAAUUAUCAAUUCAUAUAUCUCAUGAUAUGCAUGCAUGACAUUUUAAAACAUACUUCAUUUAAAUUCAAUUUCUGGGAAAAAUCAAUAGUAUAUAGGUAAAUACAGAAAAUAACUGCCCACUCACCUGGAGUUCGCCCAACAACUCCCUAGCACAACACAUCAAGGCAUCAUGACGAUCGGCGCCUAAAACAAUAAUCAAAUCCAACCUUAGAAAUCAUAUCGAUAGAAUAUAUAACUUAUAUAAAACACGUCACUACGUAGUUCGAUCCGGAAGAUUUGCAACUCAGAUUUCAAAUCCAUAACUUCCAGAGGUCCACAAUAUACCUCUAGGACAACAUCCUAAAAUUUCAUUACCAUCCAACGGUCGGAUCUCUGUCAAUUUCCAAAACCAGUGACGGUUAACAUUCUAUUUUAUGAACUUACAACUCCAAUUCCGAAAGAUCCGUAAAUCGGAUUCCCGAUCUGUAAGUUCCUAUAAUCCUCAAAUAUUACGUAUUACAAUGUAUCAAAGUUUGGUGACGAUCCGACGGUUGGAUCGUCGAUUCACCUUUUGGCCUAACCACGAAUCAUAACGAACUUAGGUUCAAUUACUCAAUUUACGUCCAUCAAUUAUCA